This 972-nucleotide ribosomal RNA is filed under the name Cyclocybe cylindracea. Its description in RNAcentral is "partial large subunit ribosomal RNA". It matches the Rfam family "Eukaryotic large subunit ribosomal RNA", at positions 38 to 966 of the family's 3401-position model. The record is from RNAcentral. Lineage: Eukaryota; Fungi; Basidiomycota; Agaricomycetes; Agaricales; Hemipholiotaceae.
GCAUAUCAAUAAGCGGAGGAAAAGAAACUAACAAGGAUUCCCCUUAGUAACUGCGAGUGAAGCGGGAAAAGCUCAAAUUUUAAAUCUGGCGGUCCUUUGCGGCCGUCCGAGUUGUAAUCUAGAGAAGUGCUUACCCGCGCUGGACCGUGUACAAGUCUCCUGGAAUGGAGCGUCAUAGAGGGUGAGAAUCCCGUCUUCGACACGGACUGCCAGGGCUUAUGUGGUGCGCUCUCGAAGAGUCGAGUUGUUUGGGAAUGCAGCUCUAAAUGGGUGGUAAAUUCCAUCUAAAGCUAAAUACAGGCGAGAGACCGAUAGCGAACAAGUACCGUGAGGGAAAGAUGAAAAGAACUUUGGAAAGAGAGUUAAACAGUACGUGAAAUUGCUGAAAGGGAAACGUUUGAAGUCAGUCGCGUUGGCUGGGGAUCAACCUUGCUCUUGCAGGGCGCACUCUCUGGUUUCGACGGGUCAGCAUCAGUUUUGGUCGCUGGAGAAAGGCUAGGGGAAUGUGGCAUCGCUUCGGUGAUGUGUUAUAGCCCUUGGUUGUAUGCAGCGGUUGGGACUGAGGAACUCAGCGCGCGCCUCUUCACGGGGGUGCCGGGUCUUUCGAGACCACGCUUACGCGCUUAGGAUGCUGGCAUAAUGGCUUUAAGCGACCCGUCUUGAAACACGGACCAAGGAGUCUAACAUGCUUGCGAGUGUUUGGGUGGAAAACCCGAGCGCGUAAUGAAAGUGAAAGUUGGGAACCCUGUCGUGGGGUGCACCGACGCCCGGACCAGACCUUCUUGUGACGGCUCCGCGGUAGAGCAGGCAUGUUGGGACCCGAAAGAUGGUGAACUAUGCCUGAAUAGGGUGAAGCCAGAGGAAACUCUGGUGGAGGCUCGUAGCGAUUCUGACGUGCAAAUCGAUCGUCAAAUUUGGGUAUAGGGGGCGAAAGACUAAUCGAACCAUCUAGUAGCUGGGUUCCUGCCGAAG